AUUGAACGCUGGCGGAAUGCUUUACACAUGCAAGUCGAGCGGCAGCGCGGGGGCAACCCUGGCGGCGAGCGGCGAACGGGUGAGUAACAUAUCGGAACGUACCCAGUCGUGGGGGAUAACUAUCCGAAAGGAUAGCUAAUACCGCAUACGUCCUGAGGGAGAAAGCGGGGGAUCGCAAGACCUCGCGCGAUUGGAGCGGCCGAUAUCGGAUUAGCUAGUUGGUGGGGUAAAGGCUCACCAAGGCGACGAUCCGUAGCGGGUCUGAGAGGACGACCCGCCACACUGGAACUGAGACACGGUCCAGACUCCUACGGGAGGCAGCAGUGGGGAAUAUUGCGCAAUGGGCGAAAGCCUGACGCAGCCACGCCGCGUGAGCGAUGAAGGCCUCGGUCGUAAGACUCUGUGGGAGGAGACG
This 415-nucleotide ribosomal RNA is filed under the name uncultured bacterium. RNAcentral's name for it is "bacterial SSU rRNA". It matches the Rfam family "Bacterial small subunit ribosomal RNA", at positions 29 to 447 of the family's 1533-position model. The record is from RNAcentral.